RNAcentral lists this ribosomal RNA (2930 nucleotides) under Escherichia coli. RNAcentral describes it as "bacterial LSU rRNA". It matches the Rfam family "Bacterial large subunit ribosomal RNA". The record is from RNAcentral. Lineage: Bacteria; Pseudomonadati; Pseudomonadota; Gammaproteobacteria; Enterobacterales; Enterobacteriaceae.
GGGUUGUGAGGUUAAGCGACUAAGCGUACACGGUGGAUGCCCUGGCAGUCAGAGGCGAUGAAGGACGUGCUAAUCUGCGAUAAGCGUCGGUAAGGUGAUAUGAACCGUUAUAACCGGCGAUUUCCGAAUGGGGAAACCCAGUGUGAUUCGUCACACUAUCAUUAACUGAAUCCAUAGGUUAAUGAGGCGAACCGGGGGAACUGAAACAUCUAAGUACCCCGAGGAAAAGAAAUCAACCGAGAUUCCCCCAGUAGCGGCGAGCGAACGGGGAGCAGCCCAGAGCCUGAAUCAGUGUGUGUGUUAGUGGAAGCGUCUGGAAAGGCGCGCGAUACAGGGUGACAGCCCCGUACACAAAAAUGCACAUGCUGUGAGCUCGAUGAGUAGGGCGGGACACGUGGUAUCCUGUCUGAAUAUGGGGGGACCAUCCUCCAAGGCUAAAUACUCCUGACUGACCGAUAGUGAACCAGUACCGUGAGGGAAAGGCGAAAAGAACCCCGGCGAGGGGAGUGAAAAAGAACCUGAAACCGUGUACGUACAAGCAGUGGGAGCACGCUUAGGCGUGUGACUGCGUACCUUUUGUAUAAUGGGUCAGCGACUUAUAUUCUGUAGCAAGGUUAACCGAAUAGGGGAGCCGAAGGGAAACCGAGUCUUAACUGGGCGUUAAGUUGCAGGGUAUAGACCCGAAACCCGGUGAUCUAGCCAUGGGCAGGUUGAAGGUUGGGUAACACUAACUGGAGGACCGAACCGACUAAUGUUGAAAAAUUAGCGGAUGACUUGUGGCUGGGGGUGAAAGGCCAAUCAAACCGGGAGAUAGCUGGUUCUCCCCGAAAGCUAUUUAGGUAGCGCCUCGUGAAUUCAUCUCCGGGGGUAGAGCACUGUUUCGGCAAGGGGGUCAUCCCGACUUACCAACCCGAUGCAAACUGCGAAUACCGGAGAAUGUUAUCACGGGAGACACACGGCGGGUGCUAACGUCCGUCGUGAAGAGGGAAACAACCCAGACCGCCAGCUAAGGUCCCAAAGUCAUGGUUAAGUGGGAAACGAUGUGGGAAGGCCCAGACAGCCAGGAUGUUGGCUUAGAAGCAGCCAUCAUUUAAAGAAAGCGUAAUAGCUCACUGGUCGAGUCGGCCUGCGCGGAAGAUGUAACGGGGCUAAACCAUGCACCGAAGCUGCGGCAGCGACGCUUAUGCGUUGUUGGGUAGGGGAGCGUUCUGUAAGCCUGUGAAGGUGUGCUGUGAGGCAUGCUGGAGGUAUCAGAAGUGCGAAUGCUGACAUAAGUAACGAUAAAGCGGGUGAAAAGCCCGCUCGCCGGAAGACCAAGGGUUCCUGUCCAACGUUAAUCGGGGCAGGGUGAGUCGACCCCUAAGGCGAGGCCGAAAGGCGUAGUCGAUGGGAAACAGGUUAAUAUUCCUGUACUUGGUGUUACUGCGAAGGGGGGACGGAGAAGGCUAUGUUGGCCGGGCGACGGUUGUCCCGGUUUAAGCGUGUAGGCUGGUUUUCCAGGCAAAUCCGGAAAAUCAAGGCUGAGGCGUGAUGACGAGGCACUACGGUGCUGAAGCAACAAAUGCCCUGCUUCCAGGAAAAGCCUCUAAGCAUCAGGUAACAUCAAAUCGUACCCCAAACCGACACAGGUGGUCAGGUAGAGAAUACCAAGGCGCUUGAGAGAACUCGGGUGAAGGAACUAGGCAAAAUGGUGCCGUAACUUCGGGAGAAGGCACGCUGAUAUGUAGGUGAAGUCCCUCGCGGAUGGAGCUGAAAUCAGUCGAAGAUACCAGCUGGCUGCAACUGUUUAUUAAAAACACAGCACUGUGCAAACACGAAAGUGGACGUAUACGGUGUGACGCCUGCCCGGUGCCGGAAGGUUAAUUGAUGGGGUCAGCGCAAGCGAAGCUCUUGAUCGAAGCCCCGGUAAACGGCGGCCGUAACUAUAACGGUCCUAAGGUAGCGAAAUUCCUUGUCGGGUAAGUUCCGACCUGCACGAAUGGCGUAAUGAUGGCCAGGCUGUCUCCACCCGAGACUCAGUGAAAUUGAACUCGCUGUGAAGAUGCAGUGUACCCGCGGCAAGACGGAAAGACCCCGUGAACCUUUACUAUAGCUUGACACUGAACAUUGAGCCUUGAUGUGUAGGAUAGGUGGGAGGCUUUGAAGUGUGGACGCCAGUCUGCAUGGAGCCGACCUUGAAAUACCACCCUUUAAUGUUUGAUGUUCUAACGUUGACCCGUGAUCCGGGUUGCGGACAGUGUCUGGUGGGUAGUUUGACUGGGGCGGUCUCCUCCUAAAGAGUAACGGAGGAGCACGAAGGUUGGCUAAUCCUGGUCGGACAUCAGGAGGUUAGUGCAAUGGCAUAAGCCAGCUUGACUGCGAGCGUGACGGCGCGAGCAGGUGCGAAAGCAGGUCAUAGUGAUCCGGUGGUUCUGAAUGGAAGGGCCAUCGCUCAACGGAUAAAAGGUACUCCGGGGAUAACAGGCUGAUACCGCCCAAGAGUUCAUAUCGACGGCGGUGUUUGGCACCUCGAUGUCGGCUCAUCACAUCCUGGGGCUGAAGUAGGUCCCAAGGGUAUGGCUGUUCGCCAUUUAAAGUGGUACGCGAGCUGGGUUUAGAACGUCGUGAGACAGUUCGGUCCCUAUCUGCCGUGGGCGCUGGAGAACUGAGGGGGGCUGCUCCUAGUACGAGAGGACCGGAGUGGACGCAUCACUGGUGUUCGGGUUGUCAUGCCAAUGGCACUGCCCGGUAGCUAAAUGCGGAAGAGAUAAGUGCUGAAAGCAUCUAAGCACGAAACUUGCCCCGAGAUGAGUUCUCCCUGACUCCUUGAGAGUCCUGAAGGAACGUUGAAGACGACGACGUUGAUAGGCCGGGUGUGUAAGCGCAGCGAUGCGUUGAGCUAACCGGUACUAAUGAACCGUGAGGCUUAACCUUACAACGCCGAAGCUGUU